RNAcentral lists this ribosomal RNA (512 nucleotides) under uncultured bacterium. Its description in RNAcentral is "bacterial SSU rRNA". It matches the Rfam family "Bacterial small subunit ribosomal RNA", at positions 28 to 526 of the family's 1533-position model. The record is from RNAcentral.
GACGAACGCUGGCGGUGUGCUUAACACAUGCAAGUGGAGCGACGAACCAGAGCUUGCUCUGGGGCAGAGCCGCGAACGGGUGAGUAACACGUGGGUAACGUACCCCGAUAACCGGGACAACCCGAGGAAACUCGGGCUAAUACCGGAUGUGCUCCUCCCUCAUCAGAGGGUUGAGUAAAGGAAGCUUCGGCCUCCGUAUCGGGAGCGGCCCGCGGCCUAUUAGUUUGUUGGUGGGGUAACGGCCUACCAAGACUGCGAUAGGUAGCUGGUCUGAGAGGACGAUCAGCCACACUGGGACUGAGACACGGCCCAGACUCCUACGGGAGGCAGCAGUGGGGAAUCUUGCGCAAUGCGCGAAAGCGUGACGCAGCAACACCGCGUGGGGGAAGAAGGCCUUCGGGUUGUAAACCCCUUUCAGGAGGGACGAAGGCCGGCCGGUGAAUAGCCGUGCCGGUUGACGGUACCUCCACAAGAAGCCCCGGCUAACUACGUGCCAGCCGCCGCCGUAAAAC